CAGAGGGUGCAAACGUUGUUCGGAAUUACUGGGCGUAAAGCGCGUGUAGGCGGCUAUGUAAGUCGGGCGUGAAAUCCCAUGGCUUAACCAUGGAAGUGCACCCGAAACUGCGUAGCUAGAGUCCAGAAGAGGAGAGUGGAAUUCCCGGUGUAGCGGUGAAAUGCGCAGAUAUCGGGAAGAACACCUAUGGCGAAAGCAGCUCUCUGGGACGGUACUGACGCUGAGACGCGAAAGCGUGGGGAGCGAACAGGAUUAGAUACCCUGGUAGUCCACGCCGUAAACGAUGGGUGCUAGGUGUGGGUGGUGUCGACUCCAUCCGUGCCGAAGCUAACGCAUUAAGCACCCCGCCUGGGGAGUACGGCCGCAAGGCUA
Molecule: ribosomal RNA, 372 nt
Filed under: uncultured organism
Description: bacterial SSU rRNA
Rfam family: Bacterial small subunit ribosomal RNA
Source: RNAcentral